GCCUUCAUGCAUGCCCAAAGCUUUCCUCUCUUUCUCUCUUACAGGGAAUGUAGUUGUGGACCAAGUCAAAGUAGGAAUUAGUUUGGAUUUCAAAUUCUAUGAGAUAGAAUUUUAGGAAACCAAAACUCUUUCCUUUUGGCACUAAUUUUAUCCAAAUUUUUUUGAAAUUUUUAUGGAUUUUAUGGCACAUAUCAUGUGCCCUUUUUUGGUGGUCUAUGGUGGAAAAAGGAGGAGACACCC
RNAcentral lists this long non-coding RNA (240 nucleotides) under Elaeis guineensis (African oil palm). RNAcentral describes it as "long non-coding RNA (EGUI_LNC056480)". The record is from RNAcentral. Lineage: Eukaryota; Viridiplantae; Streptophyta; Magnoliopsida; Arecales; Arecaceae.